Molecule: non-coding RNA, 78 nt
Organism: Podarcis lilfordi (Lilford's wall lizard)
Lineage: Eukaryota; Metazoa; Chordata; Lepidosauria; Squamata; Lacertidae
Source: the annotation of a GenBank genome assembly
GCGAUUAGCUCAGUGGUAGGGCAUUUGUGUUGCAUGCAAGAGGUCCCAGCUUCAAUCUUCAGCUGGACCACAUAGGCA